This is a long non-coding RNA of Gadus macrocephalus (Pacific cod), 1917 nucleotides long. RefSeq lists it as uncharacterized. The record is from RefSeq and is a predicted model, not a curated record. Lineage: Eukaryota; Metazoa; Chordata; Actinopteri; Gadiformes; Gadidae. The transcript is spliced from 3 exons.
AUUGUAGUGUUUAUUAGAGCCAUAAAUCAAUUUAUUACGGUCGGGUUGUAGCCAAGUCAGUUUUGCUAGUGACCACCAGGGGGCCACAGCCUUUCCGGGGAAGCGUCCUUAUUGGACCCCGGCUGGCUGGAGGUCCCUGGGCGGUACUUGCCAAACGGGUGCUACUCAGCGAGGACGCAUCGAUAACACAUCACAACGCCGCAGCCAUGGCAAAAUGAAAGUACCAGGACUGAAAGAGAACGUGUGUGUGUGUGUGUGUGUGUGUGUGUGUGUGUGUGUGUGUGUGUGUGUGUGUGUGUGUGUGUGUGUGUGUGUGUGUGUGUGUGUGUGUGUGUGUGUGUGUGUGUGUCAUAUUUCUUCUAUAGAUAACAUACAUUCUUGUCCUUAAAAACGGAAGCUAUAAAACGCAUCAGGUGGGUUGUGGAUCUCUGGUAGUGACAAGAUGGCAGACGCAGAAGGAGAAGAGAGAGGAGAAGAGAGCUUUGGAAAGAGAACCAUGGGGCCCAUGACUUCAGAGCAGUAUGCGAUUCCUGCUAAUGAGUUUCUACUCAUUGGUAAAACCCUAAUGAAUUUGCACAAAUGAUCUCCAUUUAACGACAGAGCUGACGUCCCCCUUCCUGACUCCAGGGCACCUCUCAGCUGUGGCUAUCGGGUUCACGAUAGCAGAUUCCAAAAAAUGACUCGGAGGCAAUAACAACGGCAUCCACCCAAAGAGCGACGGGAAGGAGAUUAAAGAGGUUCAACUCUAGUUCCACGGCCUCACCUCCUAUCGCACUGCAUCAAGUCUGUCCGGUGAUGUCAGCCUGGCUGCUGGUGAAUGCUAAGCGCCAUGGACAGCUUCACCUCUGUGAGACGCCUGUCAGAGGGGACGUUGACAUUCAGAGACACAGUGCGUCUCAUCCUAGGUCUGGUGACUAAAGAAGUCGAAAGAAUUUCAUUGCCAGCGACUGCUCUGUAAUUGUUGCGUAUGUGACAAUAAAACCAACUUGAAUCUUGAACCUUGGUGGUGGUAGUGCAAGCCUUAACUCUCCUCUCCCUGGUGGGAUACAAGUCGCACACUGGUUGUCGAUGUAAUGCAUUUAUCCCUGGGGAUCCUUGCUCAUUCUACAUGAUCCACAGUGUGAAUCAGCCUGUUUGUAUAUGUGGCUCAUUGCUGUAUGUAUUUAGUCUGGUUAUGUAUCUCUGUUAUGUUCCUCUCUUGCAUAGCGACCCAUAGAGACAGGUAUGUUGUCAAAGUUUGUUUGGAAGUGUGUAGUAGAAAAUCCAAUAGACAAUGGGGCUAAAGUAAAGUGGAUGACCGUGCUCGGACCGCAGGUUCAUCCUACAGCUGUUCUACAGAGACGCCCGCAUGGCAUAAGCCAAUAGUCUGAAAGGGGGCCCAUUUGAGCGCACGCAAAGUGUCACCUGAUUGAUUUGGUGAAACGUAACAAAUGUCAAAUGUAAACCUAAAUGGUUCCAUAACACUCAAUUCAAGUAUCAUUCAGCCAUUUAUCUCCUGUGUUUUCCCUUUGUGCUUUUUUUUCUGCGUCAUUCUUAUUUGUAUCUCACGCAAGCAGCCAUGACGACGACGACGACGACGACGACGGGGGGUCAGUGUGUCCUUAUAAGCUCCAGCGCUGGUCCAAUCUAUGGCACUUACCCCUGCCCACAACCCCCCCCCCUCCUCCCCUUCAAAGUGCAAUUACUCGCAAAUUAAACAUGCCCGCAUGCUAUUAUCGCAAACCAUUUCCGCGUGGCAUCUCUGACUCCCCUCCCUCAUUCAUAAUUUAAUCCCUCUGUUCUCAAGGCUAGAGGCGACCGGAUGGGGCGGUCUCCAACAUCAGACAGAGAGGGAGGAAGACACAGUGUGUGUGUGUGUGUGUGUGUGUGUGUGUGUGUGUGUGUGUGUGUGUGUGUGUGUGUGUGUGUGUUGGUGUG